RNAcentral lists this long non-coding RNA (1055 nucleotides) under Bos indicus x Bos taurus (hybrid cattle). RNAcentral describes it as "lncRNA (ENSBIXG00000010574.1)". The record is from RNAcentral. Lineage: Eukaryota; Metazoa; Chordata; Mammalia; Artiodactyla; Bovidae.
AUGCUAGCUCUAGUUUUUGCAAGCAUAAAUAAACACCAACAGUAUGAAAACAGGCAUAGGAAGAGAAACCACAGACAGUGGAGAUACAUCUGCGGGAGGGAAGAGGAAACCUGGAUACAAAAGGGCUCCCUGAAGACGGGAGCUUCAGUCACAUCUGGAGUAUUUCUUUACAAGGAUCAAGAGAAAUCAGAAACAGAAAAAUUCAGAUCCAUCUUUCACAGGAUGAUAAGAAGAAAAAAAAGAACAAAAAUAUACCAAGAAAAAAAGCUACCAGCAAGACGAGAGAAACCCAGUUUCCAGCAGGAAAAGUUUUUUAAAAACGCCCAGUCCUGGGAGUAUGGGGACCAGGAAAAGCAGAGGUCCUGGGCACACAGGAUCUGAGCCGUCCGUGAGUCACACACGGUGCCACUCAGUGUGCGCCCGUCAGCUCUGGGGACCCGCGGGGCCCGCGCGUUCAGUCGACUGGUUUCCUACCUACAGCAAGUCUCUGCAAGGCCCUGGCAAGAUCCGACCACCACCCAGCCUGUCUGGGUUUGCCUGGGACAUGCCUGACUCCAGCACUGAAAGUCUCACAUCCCGGAAAAACUGGGACAGUUUGGUCACCCUACGCUUUCCAGGAGAGGAAAUCUGAUCAGAGAGGUGAAGUGGUCAGACCCAGGCCCAACUGCCAAGACAGCGUUCAAAGAAUCCACAGCAGCACAGAAAGAUCAAGGGCAGCCAGAUCAGAGCAACUCUGAGGCUCCACAACACGCUCUUUUGAUCGAGAGUGGUUAAGGCUCAACGCUGGCUCAGGGCUGGUGAGGCGGGCAGACCCGGCUGCCACCCGAGUCGGCGUCUAGAGGACGGUCUCCUUGGGAAGCAAUUUGGCAACUUGCAGUUUGUGCCGUGAAACUGUUCCUAGCCUUUGACUGAAUGAUACUAUGCUGGGAAAUCCAUUCUAAGGAAAUUAUCCCUCUUUUUAUUAUUAUUAAAAAGCUACUGGAAAGAAAAUGUUCUCUGCAAUAUUAUCUAGAAGAGAAAAUAAACCUGAACAGUUCAUAGAGGGUAAUGGCUUC